UGUUGAGCCCUGCACUCCAGACAGCCUU
RNAcentral lists this non-coding RNA (28 nucleotides) under Mus musculus (house mouse). Lineage: Eukaryota; Metazoa; Chordata; Mammalia; Rodentia; Muridae. The record is from RNAcentral.